GGAUUGUUCACCCACCAAUAGGGAACGUGAGCUGGGUUUAGACUGUCGUGAGAUAGGUUAGUUUUACCCUACUGAUGAUAGUGUUGUAAUAGUAGUUCAACCUAGUAUGAGAGGAACUGUUGAUUCGCACAAUUGGUUAUUGCGCUUGGUUGAAAAGCCAGGGGCGCGAAGCUGCCGUGUGCUGGAUUAUGACUAAACGCCUCUAAGUCAGAAUCCAGGCUAGAAGCGACACAUGCGCCCACCGCCCACUUGCCGACCCGCAGUAGGGGCCGUCCGGCCCCCAAAGGCACGUGUCCUUGGUGAAGCCCGCGCGGUGGAUGAGCCACGCGUGCCACCUUGAAGUACAAUUCCUAUCUCGGGCGGCGGGUAGAAUCCUUUGCAGAUGACUUAAAUAUGCGAUGGGGUAUUGUAAGUGGCAGAGUGGCCUUGCUGCCACGAUACACUGAGAUUCAGCUCUGCGUCGCUCCGAUUCGUCCCUCCC
This 481-nucleotide ribosomal RNA is filed under the name Camellia sinensis. Its description in RNAcentral is "eukaryotic LSU rRNA". It matches the Rfam family "Eukaryotic large subunit ribosomal RNA", at positions 2926 to 3401 of the family's 3401-position model. The record is from RNAcentral. Lineage: Eukaryota; Viridiplantae; Streptophyta; Magnoliopsida; Ericales; Theaceae.